Long non-coding RNA from Aquila chrysaetos chrysaetos, 470 nucleotides. RefSeq lists it as uncharacterized. NCBI's taxonomy places the organism in Eukaryota, Metazoa, Chordata, Aves, Accipitriformes, Accipitridae. The record is from RefSeq and is a predicted model, not a curated record. The transcript is spliced from 4 exons.
GAUGCCAAGGAUGUUGCAUGCAAAAGAAAGUGAUUGAUCAAUGUUUCUAAUCAGCUGAGCUGAAGAUUAAAAUACUAAUUAAAAUGUUACUCUUCUAGAAGAAAUAAGAGAAACCAGAGAAACAUCAUAAAAAUUUAUUAUCUAUUCUUGUCUUUAAACACCUGUAUUCAAAGAGAAAAAAUGAAAGCAUUAAAAAAGCAAUUAGGAGCAGCAAUGCUAGCAAAAAGAACAAGAAAAAGAACAAAUGGCAAUUGAGAAACAGAAAAACUGGGCAGAAGAACACCGUUUAAUGUGGACAGCUGAAGAGUGAUAUGCUUUGCUCUUGAGAACAUUGCUUAAAGGCAUCUAUGAAGAACUGUGAACUGCUGCAAACCAUUUGCUUACAGAGGUGCUGCUGGGAAUGGGAAUGACUUGUUCACUGACAGGCAAUGCAUGAAGAGUUUGUCCACAUUAGGUGCACAAACCUGUCC